CAUGUGUUACCCUUCUGCAUGAAGAUGUAGA
This 31-nucleotide non-coding RNA is filed under the name Rattus norvegicus (Norway rat). Lineage: Eukaryota; Metazoa; Chordata; Mammalia; Rodentia; Muridae. The record is from RNAcentral.